GUUUUAAGUCUCAUCUGCACUAUCCUCUGGUCUCUUCUCAUUCCCAAGUGUUAAAGGACCACUAUAGUGCCAAGAAAACACUCAUUUUCCUGGCACUAUAGUGCCCUGAGGGUGCCCCCACCCGCCGGGCUCUGGGGAGAGGAAGGGGUUAAACUUAACUCUUUCUCCAGCGCCGGACGGGGAGCUCUCCUCCUCUCCUCCUGAAUGCGCAUGCACGGCAAGAGCCGCGCGUUCAGCC
Molecule: non-coding RNA, 238 nt
Organism: Pelobates cultripes (western spadefoot toad)
Lineage: Eukaryota; Metazoa; Chordata; Amphibia; Anura; Pelobatidae
Source: the annotation of a GenBank genome assembly